Triticum aestivum (bread wheat) is the source of this 92-nucleotide non-coding RNA. The record is from Rfam. NCBI's taxonomy places the organism in Eukaryota, Viridiplantae, Streptophyta, Magnoliopsida, Poales, Poaceae.
GACAGCUGUGAUGAGCCCAUUUUACAGUUACAGACCUGUACUCCUGUGGAAAUGAUCACAUGGUCAAAGAACAUCUAAGGGACUGAGGUGUG